This 468-nucleotide ribosomal RNA is filed under the name uncultured bacterium. RNAcentral describes it as "partial 16S ribosomal RNA". It matches the Rfam family "Bacterial small subunit ribosomal RNA", at positions 28 to 507 of the family's 1533-position model. The record is from RNAcentral.
GACGAACGCUGGCGGCGUGCUUAACACAUGCAAGUCGAACGGAAAGGCCCUGCUUUGGUGGGGUGCUCGAGUGGCGAACGGGUGAGUAACACGUGAGUAACCUGCCUCUGACUUUGGGAUAACUUCAGGAAACUGGGGCUAAUACCGGAUAGGAUCUCCUGCUGCACGGUGGGGGUUGGAAAGUUUCGGCGGUUGGGGAUGGGCUCGCGGCUUAUGAGCUUGUUGGUGGGGUAGUGGCUUACCAAGGCUUUGAAGGGUAGCCGGCCUGAGAGGGUGACCGACAACAUUAGGACUGAGAUACGGCCCAGACUACUACGGGAGGCAGCAGUGGGGAAGAUUGCACGAUGGGCGGAAGCCUGAUGCAGCAACGCCGCGUGCGGGAUGACGGCCUUCGGGUUGUAAACCGCUUUCGCCUGUGACGAAGCGUGAGUGACGGUAAUGGGUAAAGAAGCACCGGCUAACUACGUG